AUUGAACGCUGGCGGCAUGCCUUACACAUGCAAGUCGAACGGCAGCACGGGUGCUUGCACCUGGUGGCAAGUGGCGAACGGGUGAGUAAUACAUCGGAACGUACCUUAUCGUGGGGGAUAACGCAGCGAAAGCUGUGCUAAUACCGCAUACGCCCUGAGGGGGAAAGCGGGGGAUCGAAAGACCUCGCGCGAUUAGAGCGGCCGAUGCCUGAUUAGCUUGUUGGUAGGGUAAAAGCCACCAAGGCGACGAUCAGUAGCUGGUCUGAGAGGACGAUCAGCCACACUGGGACUGAGACACGGCCCAGACUCCUACGGGAGGCAGCAGUGGGGAAUUUUGGACAAUGGGGGAAACCCUGAUCCAGCAAUGCCGCGUGAGUGAAGAAGGCCUUC
Molecule: ribosomal RNA, 390 nt
Filed under: uncultured bacterium
Lineage: Bacteria
Description: bacterial SSU rRNA
Rfam family: Bacterial small subunit ribosomal RNA
Source: RNAcentral